RNAcentral lists this ribosomal RNA (215 nucleotides) under uncultured bacterium. RNAcentral describes it as "partial 16S ribosomal RNA". It matches the Rfam family "Bacterial small subunit ribosomal RNA", at positions 1285 to 1500 of the family's 1533-position model. The record is from RNAcentral.
GUCCCAGUUCGGAUUGCAGGCUGCAACCCGCCUGCAUGAAGUUGGAAUCGCUAGUAAUCGCGGAUCAGCAUGCCGCGGUGAAUACGUUCCCGGGCCUUGUACACACCGCCCGUCACACCAUGGGAGCCGGUAAUACCCGAAGUCAGUAGUCCAACCACGUGAGGACGCUGCCGAAGGUAGGAUUGGCGACUGGGGUGAAGUCGUAACAAGGUAUC